RNAcentral lists this ribosomal RNA (474 nucleotides) under uncultured bacterium. RNAcentral describes it as "SSU rRNA". It matches the Rfam family "Bacterial small subunit ribosomal RNA", at positions 26 to 518 of the family's 1533-position model. The record is from RNAcentral.
AGGAUUAACGCUGGCGGCGUGCAUGAAACAUGCAAGUCGAGCGCGGUACGUGGCUUCGGUCACGUAUCUAGCGGCGCACGGGUGAGUAACACGUGAGCAACCUACCUUCGAGUUCGGGAUAGCCCUGGGAAACCAGGAUUAAUACCGGAUGUGGUCACAACGGGACAUCCCGAUGUGAAAAAAGGCGCAAGCCGCUCGAUGACGGGCUCGCGGCCUAUUAGCUUGUUGGUGGGUAACGGCCUACCAAGGCGACGAUGGGUAGCUGGUCUGAGAGGACGAUCAGCCACACUGGGACUGAGACACGGCCCAGACUCCUACGGGAGGCAGCAGUUAGGAAUUUUCCGCAAUGGGCGAAAGCCUGACGGAGCAACGCCGCGUGUGUGAUGAAGGCCUUCGGGUUGUAAGCACUGUCGGAGGGAAGAAUGAAUGACGGUACCCUCCAAGAAGCCCGGCUAACUACGUGCCAGCAGCCGC